GUGGGGGACAUUGCACAAUGGAGGAAACUCUGAUGCAGCGACGCCGCGUGAGUGAAGAAGUAUUUCGGUAUGUAAAGCUCUAUCAGCAGGGAAGAUAAUGACAGUACCUGACUAAGAAGCCCCGGCUAACUACGUGCCAGCAGCCGCGGUAAUACGUAGGGGGCAAGCGUUAUCCGGAUUUACUGGGUGUAAAGGGAGCGUAGACGGAAUGGCAAGGCUGAAGUGAAAUCCUGCGGCUUAACUGCAGAAUUGCUUUGGAAACUGUCAAUCUGGAGUGUUGGAGAGGUAAGCGGAAUUCCUGGUGUAGCGGUGAAAUGCGUAGAUAUCAGGAAGAACACCGGAGGCGAAGGCGGCUUACUGGACAAUAACUGACGUUGAGGCUCGAAAGCGUGGGAAGCAAACAGGAUUAGAAACCCUGGUAGUCC
RNAcentral lists this ribosomal RNA (425 nucleotides) under uncultured bacterium. Its description in RNAcentral is "partial 16S ribosomal RNA". It matches the Rfam family "Bacterial small subunit ribosomal RNA", at positions 354 to 796 of the family's 1533-position model. The record is from RNAcentral.